UGUCAAUGAUGUGAUGGCAUGUAUUAGCUGAAUCCAGAGUUGAUGUGUUACAGUUAAUCCUGAGACCUU
Choloepus hoffmanni (Hoffmann's two-fingered sloth) is the source of this 69-nucleotide small nucleolar RNA. The record is from Ensembl. NCBI's taxonomy places the organism in Eukaryota, Metazoa, Chordata, Mammalia, Pilosa, Megalonychidae.